Molecule: long non-coding RNA, 6857 nt
Filed under: Androctonus crassicauda
Lineage: Eukaryota; Metazoa; Arthropoda; Arachnida; Scorpiones; Buthidae
Source: RNAcentral
GAUCUGAACAUUGUCUUGAAAAACCAAGAAAAAAAAAAGAAAGAAAAAAAAAAGAUUGAAGGGAUGAUUUCAAUAAAUUCUUGUGAGAUUCGUAAGAUAAGAGGAAAAUAAAAAUGAAGCUUAGAGUAUUCUGGAUAGGAUGAAGUAUCUAGAAUAAUAUUAGAAUCGCAAUAUAAGAUGAAAAUUUCUAUAUUUUAGAAAGAAGUCUAGCUUGGUCACUGAGAGAGUGGCAAAAAUUCGGUUGCAACGAAAGUCCCGCGAGGUAAGCGUCGAAAGUAAAGUUGAGUUUGGUUGCUUGGGGGAAUCGAACCUGGAAUCCAUAAAAAGAGAUCCGGCCGCGGCCGGUUCUAUGGGGACCCAUGGCCCUCGAGACAACCUCGGUCACGUCUGUAAAAGUUGGGAAGGGGCCGGAAAGGGGCAGCUGCCACCGGAGGAUUACCUCGAAAACCUCUGGCACGGAAUCGUUACGUUUCCAGAGAAGCUCAGGCCCGCACGGUCGUCUCGGGCAAACAAGCGGAUCUCCAGAGGAACUGGUGAAGCCCCGGGGCCCAAAGGCCUAGUCUGGUCGAGCAAACAUGACCGGAGGCGGGCAGUGGGGGACUAAUGAAAUCACUGUGUAAGUCUAGCGUCGCGUCCCCGAUUCGUAGCCCGGAGCGGAUUUUCUUCUCUGGAUUGGAUUUCAAAUGAAGCCACGUCGCUACAGUAGCCAUGUGUCUUUCCCCGCUAAUCACUCAUUAGCCGAAUCAGCAAUAGCCAACGACCUGAUUGGUCCGUCUCCCUAGGGUAUCUGACAUCACGUGAUUUGGUACCUGUUUGUCUUAAGUGAUUGGGGAUGCCACAAAUCCGAUUGUCCGCAUCCGGUCGCCACCUUUAGCUUUUCCUUCCAAUCCGUUCUCGGCCGCUAAUUGCUAAUUGUUGCCCGAAAAGAAUUUUGCCCAAACACAACCAAAGACAGGGAUUGACCUUUAAUUUUUCAACCACUUUCUGGUCUACAGUCCGUCACCCAGCCUACAAUACACGUUAUUUCGUAGCGAUUUCCCCAUUGAUCUAGUCAGGUCCCAAUGCUUGGGCGACACAGGGCGAAAGGUGUCAUCCCGGCCAUCAUCGAUUAGCCUAUAGAUCGAUCGAUGGCCAACGGGACGUCAUCGCUUCUUCCGGCCAUCGACUAGGCUAAUUAAGAGUCGAUAUUGUGGUUUUAGUUCUGCGAAAAGGGGAGAAACCCGGUCGGACUAUACUUUUAUUCGAUGUAGUUACAUUCUCCGGUUCUCUCGGAUGUCUUUUGAUAGAAACGAAAAAGUGACAGCGUAACCUUUUAAGCUUCUCCGAUCCCAGAAACAUAGUUUCUUAACUGUGGAGGUCAACGAACGAAUCGGUUGGAUGCAGGAGUUAAAGCGGCGAAGGUAUUAAUGAAGAGAAAGGUUGGAAGGAUUCGAACAGGUUAUCGAUCUAGGCAAUAGUGGCCACAGCGGCCGAUUAAUCAGUUCGGAGAUCUUCCAACACAAACAUGGCGACCGAUUUGUUUGGCCAAGCUGCGGAGAGAGCGACACCCGCUCCACUCGAUUAGCGCACCUUGUUUGUCUAGAGGGUGGCGUCUCGUCCCGUCUGUUUAAUAUUCGCGCUGUUUGUCUUGUCCGAUGAUUGAAUUGGUCCCGCUCGUUUGUCAACAACCUCUUUACAAAAGCUCCUUUCCGGAACAGAAUUAGUGGAAUGGUGCUUAGACGAAAGUCCCAUUCGAGACCGAAAUGACGAAAAGAAAAGAGGAUGAUGAGAGAGAGAGAGAGGACUGACAUUCGGUCUUUGGCUAGUCAGGGUAGACAAAUAUAGAAUAAAAGGAGGCACAUACACAAAAAAGAACUAAAGUCUGGCGUGUGCGGAGACUGGCAAACAUAGGCGGCGUGUAACGGGGAGAAGUUUCUUUGGCUCUUCCUCAUCCAUGUUGAUGAGGAGGGAGGUUCUGACUCUUCUUUCUGGAAUACACAAGGGCUCUCUACCGGAUCCCCGGGGAGGCAGGGAAUAAGAAGUCGGCAGAAGACUUUUAAACAGAGAGAGAGAGAAAAGAGGCGAAUUAUCAACAUUUUUGUUUAGAUCGGAAUGGAACUGGGCCGACCUAAAAUUUAAAUGACUGAAAGAGGAUCGGACCGAGAGGCAAAUAUCCAAUUUGGUCAAUGCUUUUUUGGUGCGAGGUUGGUUACGAUGGAAUAGCGUGAGGGAUGGCGGGAACUCAUGAUUUGUGACGUACAAACAAAGCUCCACCUUAGACAAACAGCCAAGUCGAGGAGAGUCUCGGAGGAGUGAUUAGCGACGACUGCGGGCGAAGGAGCCGGUGUUUGCCUUCAGUUCUGUCAACAAGCACUCUUCCACUAAUCAGCCAUGAUAAACAGACAGAUUUUACUCGCUCUCCCCUAAUGACCGACGUUUUUCCACCCAGGGCAACCGACCACCGACUAUUUACCAUCGGUUUUUCUUUUACAGGCCGCUUCCGGGACCCGAGUCAAUUCGUACCGGGCCCGGCGGCGGGAGCACCUCGGUGUCCAUGACAACCGCCCCAAGCAUCCCGUAACCAUAGAAACGAUCCAUCCUUCGCUCCCUGGAGAAGCGCCAGUCGGUAAGGACGUUAUCUGUUCCAACAAUGUCUGUCACUAAAUCAUUCCUUUUCUCUCCAUCUUGUAAUCCGUUUUAUCUUCGGAAAAAAUCUCGGUUGUUUCUUCCAUCACCGAAAUUGAAACGUGAAUAAUUGAUGGCGCGUCCCUGCGGAUCUCCCAUUCCCGCUAAAACCCGAAAAAACUUUUCGUCGCCGUUUUGGGACCUUAAUUUAUUGCGCAACGGUCGGCGCCGGCGCUCCGUCCACGUCGAUCCGAUGGGAACGGUUUCCGAACGCUCCGAGUGAUUUCCCAGCAGCCCCGGCACAGAGCCUGGUGGACGGGUGUCGCGCCAUAAAAAUUCCUUCCCCGUUACAUCCGACUUUUCCUAGGUUCGGGCGGCCUGGCGGGGAAGCCGGCCAGGCACGCGUUUACUGCACACUGAUUCCAAUAUCACAGCGUCGCCCUUCACCCGCACCGGGGAGAAUUUCUAAAAUUACCAGCGCUGGCAGUCGACGAAAGCUCCGAAGAAAGGGGAGGGGGCGCGAAUAGGAGCUCAUUUAUCUCCCGGUAACGCGCCUGGCGUCCGGGCAGAUGAUGCUCGGCGAACGGGAAACGAUGUAUAUGCAUGCGAAGGACGGAGACGAUUGUCCGGGACAUUACCCGACCAGACUGAUUUAUGUGCUGCAUCCUGCGUUUUUUCCUCCUUUAACUCACCGUCGAUACUCCUCUCCUUCUUUUAUUACUUGUCUCCUCGCUUCGCCCGCGGUAAUUACGCCGCUCACUCUCGGGUAAGGUUUACUGCCAUAGACGGCACUUCACUCGCCCGCUUCGUGCAGUGAAGCCCUCCUUUUCUUUUUCUUUUUUCUGCUCUGCCGCGUCUCGGCCAAACUUCCGUCUAAAUAUCUUCCUCUUAUUAAUUUUUCUGGCGUCGGCGCGUAGCGCGCGAGGGUCGCGCUAUCGGAAGCUUCUAUCGCCAGGUGAAGAGGGGAAACUGUUUUCCUCCUCCAUGCUCAAUUUAAGAGGGUCGAGAAGAAGGCGCAGUUAAAACCUGGUGUCUGCCGUUAUUACUGAUCCGGGAACGCCUAAUUUCUUUCAGCAAACGACUUUCUAGCGGAAACCAGGGGCCGAUCCCCUUUCAGCUAGCGUGCACUGGCUUAAUUUAGCCCCGGCAAUUUGUGUAUAAUAAGGCCGCAGACAUACGCAGUAGCGGACAAAAUAUGUAAUAGAGCCAUCAGAGGGGAGGAGAGGUAUUUACUCGGCGAUAAAUGAAAGAGGGCGGAGGGUGGCGAAUGCGUCGGCGUCCUUCGGGGUCGGAUUGCCAGGAACGCUGCCCUUUCGUCAUUUGGGACGGCAUACUUUAAUUCCAUCUCCGGAGAAUUGGGAGCAUGUUCCGAGGAUGGCGUCAGGAUUCCUGGUAACCGUCUGCAUUCCUGUUCUGUUACCGAACCGGUGGUAGAUUAUGUCUACUGCUUGUCUGGCCAACCUUACAUUAGCUUCCGUUAGAAUUAUCUCGAAAGAGUUAAAAAUAAGCUAUCGAAUCGGCAUAGGAAAGCGCAAAACGAGUUAAAACUACUCUCAAUGAAUUUAUAUUAAACUCGAAGAUAUAAUUCAUAUUGUAUCCGCAUCUGCAGAAGUCCUACAUGGAUGCUGCGAACGGCGCGACAAAAACGGAUCGUUUAGCAUUCAAGACGCGCUGUGCGUAUUAUAACGAGUUUUAUUGACGCGCGCAAAAUCUAAACGAAGAAAGUAAGACAGACUCAGUAAAAUAAAUUGAAAAGUUUAAAGAUGGAGUUGGGUCAGUCGCUUCUUGCGCCGGUAGUCUCGGACUCCCAGUUUAAUCUGUAACCCCCGCGUUGCACAAACCUCGAGGGAAAGGCCAGACGGUUCCUCGUUCCGUUUUUAAUGCGUUUCUUUCCAACAAGUUUAUGGAUGCGUCUUCUUUGGCGGAGGCCUUUUUUGACUGUGUGAGGGGAGGCAAAGUCUGUUUGGAAUUUCUAUUUCCGUUUUUCCUGGGAGACGAUCGAAAAACUCGCUUAUCCUGAGUUAUUGCUCUCCUGUUGAUUGAAUAAAGUCCUAGGGGAUUAUUUUACUUAAGUAUAAAAUUUUAAGUCUUGGCAGGAAGCCGGACAGCGUCCGCUCCCGGAAAAUUGACGUAGAAAAUCGGGGCAAAUUUACGGUUUCAAAUUGGAUGGUGGCGUCCCCCGAAGGGAAUCGGACGGAAAGGUCAUAUACAAUACAUCCCGCUGUUUUCCGAUCAGAUCAGUCAGCGCGCGCGUCUCGCAUCCGGGAUGUAGCGCGACGCCAGUAGGGCGGUGAUUCACACGGACCCAGAGGUGGAUAGGUGGGACAGGCGGCUAUUUCGGUAGUCGGAAGAAUCAAUGGACCGGGCGUCUCCGCAGUCCGUUAAAUAAUUAGAUUUAAAUAUUAACGGAGGUUUCAAUUAUGCAGCGGUCAGACGACAUUCGGGAAAUCAUGGGGAAAGGCGACCGGUGUCGUCCGCCUAGUCAGGUGACGCAAUAUUAGCGAGCCAUCAAUUUCCCGCCGACGACAAUGCCUGUGGCUGAAAUUACAUCCUAAAUUUACCGGCUACGCACAACAAUCUGUGGACUGGAGGCCGAAAAGAAUCUCAAGAAUGCGGCUCGGUGGCCGAGGAUGUCCCUCCGGCGGCAUUUCAUUAAACGGCGCCUUAAUGACGUCGAUGAUUUUUAAUGACGUCCGGAAUUGCCGCUCUUUGAUUUCUGGCCCGCUAAUUGGGUUCCGGGCUCUUGGUUCUAGCCAAACUUAAUCUAGGGUCCAGAUCCACGGCCGCCUGCACCCAACCGCGCCAUUUUCAUUUUUCUAAUAACCACCGACUGCUUUUUGACUUACAUUAGUGAUUACACACGCCCGCAAUCGUUACCUACCGCGCUGACAGACGUCGGACCCAAAAGUCACGGUUCCCAUAUGCGUUUGCGCAACCGAGCGUGUCGCCCCGGGUUUUCCGAUCGAAAAUACUCGCUUUGAUUAGCACAGAAUCUUCCCGGCCCGCUACUCAUCCCGGCCGACUUUCGAAAGGCCCGGGCGUGUCCCAUUACCUUUCAUUCGGAAGCUCCACCGGAAAUCGCCUCCGGCAGUCUGAUGCGCGUACUCGCGCCAUCGACGUCACGGCUUACCUGUGCAAGUCACGUGACCAGCAAUCUCCAGAGACCCACGCGGAUAUUACGGUAAUGAAACGUCGGUCCGUGUCCGCCUUUCACCGGUGCUCCUCCCCUCUCGACCCUCUCCGAGAGUUCGGACGGCGGGGGGUAAGAAGCGAGUAAUGAAUAAAUCACACCCAAAAGGAUUUGGUACGGUCCCCGCGAGAAUGGGAGUGGAAAGAGAAAUAUUGUACAAACGUAAUCAGAUAAAUUGGCAAGCAGAAAAUUAAUCUGCGCCCGAAUGAGCUCGGGCCCAAAGGCGCUCCCGUCGCCGGUCGUUACCGUGGGCGAGGUCGGUCGGCCGCUGCCCGUUGCCGCGGACGUUCGGGACCGAUUCUCAGAAACGGAUUCGGCCAGCCUGGAUUAAUUAUCAGCCAGGAAAUGAUCCGCCAGUUCCUUGCAUCUGACGUCAUCGGACGAGGGCCAAAGGGCUGUCGCCUUUCCGAUCGAGUACGUGUCACCCCCGGAGAAGAUGGUCGUAAAUCAUGGUUUGGUCGACUGUCGGUCUGCGCGAGACGCGGAGGCGUCCGGACGUGGGCGGACGAACAUUAAGGAUGUCCCACGAUUUCCUGUCCUGUCAGAUUCUCGUCUGGAUAGACAUUCUUUCUUAAUUGCUCGCUGGCGUCUACUACUUUACGCCGGAUUUAAAGAUUUGUCUUCCGCACUUUAAGUUUUUCUUUUGGACCAAUUACUGCGGUCGUAGGUGACGAGUCCGUUCUGUCGUCAGUGCCGGCGCUUGCUACCACACGCUUCUUCUUCACAUCUAUCUUUCCACUCUAAUAUUAGUGAUCUUAAAAUGAUUUUCGUAGCUCGAAAAGAACAGUCUCCACUUAAUCGAUAGCAUUAUCCGUGCAACUGAAUUUGGCCUUCUUUCUACCGCCACGCACACGGAAGUGAUCGAUAAGUAGGGGGAAAAAAAUAGUACUUAAGGGUUUUUUAUUCGGAUUUGGGCGCGCUUCGUGUUACCGGAAAGUGUUAUCAUCUAUUAAAAUCGCUCCAAACUUUUAUCCUUCGAAGGAACAAAUAAAAUUUAUCGAUUUCCUAUUAAAUUUAAUUAAAAUACCGUUUGAACUAAACCGUAAACUUACGAGGAAAAGAA